GUGGAAUGCACCCUCCAACACCCCAGAGAAACAAAGAAACAUAGACUACAAUUUCACUUUCAGAAGGACAAGACCCAAACUGCAGGGGACUAGAGAAGCCAAGAUUCCAGUGCCUUCCAGAACCCAGACACCCAGCCCCAACUCAGUCUUGUGCUUUCCUACCAGCUCUACUUUGUUCAUACACGCAGCUCAAAACCACCUCCCCCCACAACCUCUCUUGAUUCCUCCCAUGAUCGGAUGUGAGUGCUUCCUCCUACUUAAAAAAUACUGUAAACGUGGGGCUGGCCCCGUGGCCGAGUGGUUAAGUUCGCGCGCUCCGCUGCAGGCGGCCCAGUGUUUCGUUAGUUCGAAUCCUGGGCGCGGACAUGGCACUGCUCAUCGGACCACACUGAGGCAGCGUCCCACAUGCCACAACUAGAAGAACCCACAACGAAGAAUACACAACUAUGUACCGGGGGGCUUUGGGGAGAAAAAGGAAAAAAUAAAAUCUUUAAAAAAAAAAAAAAUAC
This 509-nucleotide long non-coding RNA is filed under the name Equus asinus (donkey). RNAcentral's name for it is "lncRNA (ENSEASG00005031009.1)". The record is from RNAcentral. Lineage: Eukaryota; Metazoa; Chordata; Mammalia; Perissodactyla; Equidae.